RNAcentral lists this ribosomal RNA (478 nucleotides) under uncultured Desulfuromonas sp. RNAcentral's name for it is "bacterial SSU rRNA". It matches the Rfam family "Bacterial small subunit ribosomal RNA", at positions 902 to 1382 of the family's 1533-position model. The record is from RNAcentral. Lineage: Bacteria; Pseudomonadati; Thermodesulfobacteriota; Desulfuromonadia; Desulfuromonadales; Desulfuromonadaceae.
CAAAGGAAUUGACGGGGCCGCACAAGCGGUGAGCAUGUGGUUAAUCGACGCAACGCGAAGAACCUUACCUGGGCUUGACAUCCCGAUCGCACCUUAUGGAAACAUAGGGGUCAGUUCGGCUGGAUCGGUGACAGGUGCUGCAUGGCUGUCGUCAGCUCGUGUCGUGAGAUGUUGGGUUAAGUCCCGCAACGAGCGCAACCCUUGUCCUUAGUUGCCAGCAUUCAGUUGGGCACUCUAAGGAGACUGCCGGUGUCAAACCGGAGGAAGGUGGGGAUGACGUCAAGUCCUCAUGGCCCUUAUGUCCAGGGCUACACACGUGCUACAAUGGCCGGUACAAAGGGGCGCAAGACCGCGAGGUGGAGCAAAUCCCAAAAAACCGGUCUCAGUUCGGAUUGGAGUCUGCAACUCGACUCCAUGAAGUUGGAAUCGCUAGUAAUCGCGUAUCAGCAUGACCGCGGUCCGAAUACGUUCCGGCCUU